This 587-nucleotide ribosomal RNA is filed under the name Lodderomyces parapsilosis. RNAcentral's name for it is "eukaryotic LSU rRNA". It matches the Rfam family "Eukaryotic large subunit ribosomal RNA", at positions 50 to 653 of the family's 3401-position model. Lineage: Eukaryota; Fungi; Ascomycota; Pichiomycetes; Serinales; Debaryomycetaceae. The record is from RNAcentral.
GCGGAGGAAAAGAAACCAACAGGGAUUGCCUUAGUAGCGGCGAGUGAAGCGGCAAAAGCUCAAAUUUGAAAUCUGGCACUUUCAGUGUCCGAGUUGUAAUUUGAAGAAGGUAUCUUUGGGUCUGGCUCUUGUCUAUGUUUCUUGGAACAGAACGUCACAGAGGGUGAGAAUCCCGUGCGAUGAGAUGUCCCAGACCUAUGUAAAGUUCCUUCGAAGAGUCGAGUUGUUUGGGAAUGCAGCUCUAAGUGGGUGGUAAAUUCCAUCUAAAGCUAAAUAUUGGCGAGAGACCGAUAGCGAACAAGUACAGUGAUGGAAAGAUGAAAAGAACUUUGAAAAGAGAGUGAAAAAGUACGUGAAAUUGUUGAAAGGGAAGGGCUUGAGAUCAGACUUGGUAUUUUGUAUGUUACUCUCUCGGGGGUGGCCUCUACAGUUUACCGGGCCAGCAUCAGUUUGAGCGGUAGGAUAAGUGCAAAGAAAUGUGGCACUGCUUCGGUAGUGUGUUAUAGUCUUUGUCGAUACUGCCAGCUUAGACUGAGGACUGCGGCUUCGGCCUAGGAUGUUGGCAUAAUGAUCUUAAGUCGCCCGUC